Daphnia magna is the source of this 1224-nucleotide long non-coding RNA. RefSeq lists it as uncharacterized. The record is from RefSeq and is a predicted model, not a curated record. Lineage: Eukaryota; Metazoa; Arthropoda; Branchiopoda; Diplostraca; Daphniidae. The transcript is spliced from 2 exons.
CUGUAACCAGUGGCAACUAGCCAUGGCCAGUGGCACCUAAAAAACGAAUUAACGAUAGUUUGAAGAAAUUAAAAUUAUUCUUUUAUUGAAGGCGUUCUCCACAAAUAUCCGUCAUUUAAUUUCAGUUUCUUGUCUUAGGAGAUAAUAAAAUGAUUUGGUCAAUUCAACUAAGGAGUAAAGACAAGCUAAUUGCCUAGGUAUAUACCACUGCUCCAGCAUCUGCUUGUAGCCAAUCAGAAAGCUUAAUCGGACAUCCUGAGAGGGAUUUUGUUCCUCUGCUCAUCAUGUUAUACUGUUAACAACCACCAUCAAUGAAAACCUCAGUCUAUGAAACAGUUUAUUAGGUAACAUUGUUUGUAUUGUAUCCUUGAUUUCCUUUUCCAUGUUUAGUAAAAGGUUCUGUAUAAUCAAUACCCAACCAAUAUUGUCAUUACGAAAGUGAUUGACUCAUUACUUGGGACAGCUAGUGUUGGUAGAUUUUUUCCUACUGAAGAAGUACAGUACAGAAAAAAGGGUGAUUCACACAAUUAAAAAAGCAAAAUGUCUUCAGACCUUUUUGUAGGAUAAGGAGAGUAUAACUGUUUAAGAGAAUCAUCUGUAAGUAUUUUAUUUGGGAAGAAGAUAUAAAUUCCGUUGAAACAGCCAACCAAAUUUUGUUUUAUAACCUUCCCUGCUCAGUCUUCUCGGCAGCCAUGUAGUUUAAUUAAAACAAAAUCUAUAGCAUUUGCAUUAUUUGUUGAAUCGCGUAGCAUAAGCCCAGAAACAAUUUCUGAAUUAAUGUAAUAGUUUACAGUAUACGUCCAAAUUGAAAUUAUUAAUAAGGUUUUUAUUGAAAUAAGGUAAUAAACAAAGGUAUUAAAGUUAAUUCGAACGUAUACAAUUACCUUCGAUUUAAAAAGCAAUUCCAUUUUUAGGUACUAAUCCUAUUGUAAGAGUUAAUUCUCAAGGCGGCGGUGGCGUCAUGGUUAGCGCUCCGUCUUCGCAUGUUCAAAGUCUGAGGUUCGAUUCCCGCCACCGACAAUCUACGGUUGUCCCAACAAACCUCCUCGGGCUGUUGGGGCCUUGUGGCACGGGAGUUACUAAUCAUGUAACCUAUUCCUAGCCAGAUCGUAGUAGAUAAAUCUUCACCUUAAGUGUGAUGAAGAUGGUGCCAUAUUCCAUGAUUCUGUCGAGCUCCUAGUGGGCGAGGAUGGCGUGAGGAGACCAUGGUACCGACAUUUUUAA